GCCCGCCUGCCACGUCACUUUGCCUCCACCAUCCUCCCUUUCUCAUUCUUUCUUUUCAUUUCGCUUUGCUUCUUCGCAAAAGGCAACCGACAUGAAAAUGCGCUCUUGCUAGUUGGUGUUCGGGAACAGAGAGGCCUCUGGAUUGGAGUUAAACUUUGUCAGUGAAGUAAGUUGUAUCUUUUAGGGGUCUUUUAAUUUCGCUGGAAGAAUGGAUACGACUGAGGCCUUGGGCAGAAGAUCGAGCAGGUAGUGACCUGCAGCCGCAAUGACCUCAGGGUCCUUCCUCCCAUCAGAGUCCUCCUCACCCCCCCGCCUGCCCAGUGUUCAGACUACCUGUUCAUCAGGCUACAGCUGAACAGUAGUCUGCACAUUGGUUAGGCUGGGCUGGGAUGCACACACCUCCAGCCACCAUGGUUGAUGACACAAAAUCUCCACUUGGGAUGGUUUUAUCCCAACAGUGCCAAAUUCAGCAUCUUCAGCUUUAUCCAUUCCUGUGGUGCUGCAUCAUCUUAUCUUAGCCAGCCAAUAUCACUGUGUCUCACUUUAACAGAAAUCGCUCUCACCUCCUCAUCUUUGUACCAGGACAGGGACUCAGCGGUCAGGACAAACCAGUACUCCUUGGAGCCUCCCUUCAUGAUGCUGAUGUUGAUGGUUAGCCAGCCUUUUCUGAUCACCUGCACAGUGAUGGAGGAUGGAGGAAAACAGUUAUGGCAACUAGGCAUAUGCACUGUUGAUAUGAGGGCCCCAAAAGUGUGGCACCAUUAACACCGGGAUGUAACUGACACAAUAAAAAUCUUACCUGCUUACCUGCA
Scatophagus argus is the source of this 812-nucleotide long non-coding RNA. RefSeq lists it as uncharacterized. The transcript is spliced from 2 exons. Lineage: Eukaryota; Metazoa; Chordata; Actinopteri; Scatophagidae. The record is from RefSeq and is a predicted model, not a curated record.